CCUACGGGGGGCAGCAGUGGGGAAUUUUGGACAAUGGGCGAAAGCCUGAUCCAGCCAUGCCGCGUGUCUGAAGAAGGCCUUCGGGUUGUAAAGGACUUUUGUCAGGGAGGAAAUCCCUAGCGUUAAUACCGCUGGGGGAUGACAGUACCUGAAGAAUAAGCACCGGCUAACUACGUGCCAGCAGCCGCGGUAAUACGUAGGGUGCGAGCGUUAAUCGGAAUUACUGGGCGUAAAGCGUGCGCAGGCGGUUUGAUAAGCCAGAUGUGAAAUCCCCGAGCUCAACUUGGGAACUGCGUUUGGAACUGUCAGACUAGAGUGCGUCAGAGGGGGGUGGAAUUCCGCGUGUAGCAGUGAAAUGCGUAGAGAUGCGGAGGAACACCGAUGGCGAAGGCAGCCCCCUGGGAUGACACUGACGCUCAUGCACGAAAGCGUGGGGAGCAAACAGGAUUAGAUACCCCAGUAGUC
RNAcentral lists this ribosomal RNA (465 nucleotides) under uncultured bacterium. RNAcentral describes it as "bacterial SSU rRNA". It matches the Rfam family "Bacterial small subunit ribosomal RNA", at positions 338 to 795 of the family's 1533-position model. The record is from RNAcentral.